RNAcentral lists this ribosomal RNA (399 nucleotides) under Triticum aestivum (bread wheat). RNAcentral's name for it is "partial small subunit ribosomal RNA". The record is from RNAcentral. Lineage: Eukaryota; Viridiplantae; Streptophyta; Magnoliopsida; Poales; Poaceae.
AUGGCGACACUACGGUAUCGUUUCUCUCUUGGGAGCAUCAUUUGUGGAGCAGCGCUGGAAGUCAGAGGCAGGAGGUGGAGUGGCUUCGUCUUGCACGGAGCUUCGGUGGAGAUGUCAAGUCAUGCCUGGCCGACAGGUGCUACGCUUUGUCAUGCCUGGUCGGCAGGUGCUACGCACGACAGAUCUUCCAGAGACUUCAAGCCGUGUUGGCUGGUGGUACUUGGCGGCAUGGUGCUGAGGGGUACCGGCGGCGACCGCGACGUGCUCAGCAGUUCACGCGCAGGGAGGUGGUGCCGUUGGGCGAUGUGGUGGCGUCGGCGGCAGCUAGACCGGGCAAGGAUGAUGCGUCAGUACAACUCUGAAGAUGGAGUGGUGGUAGUUGGCGGCGGCGGCCUCUGA